RNAcentral lists this ribosomal RNA (484 nucleotides) under uncultured bacterium. RNAcentral describes it as "partial 16S ribosomal RNA". It matches the Rfam family "Bacterial small subunit ribosomal RNA", at positions 30 to 507 of the family's 1533-position model. The record is from RNAcentral.
AUUGAACGCUGGCGGCAGGCCUAACACAUGCAAGUCGAGCGGAUGAAGGGAGCUUGCUCCUGGAUUCAGCGGCGGACGGGUGAGUAAUGCCUAGGAAUCUGCCUUGUAGAGGGGGAUAACGUCCGGAAACGGGCGCUAAUACCGCAUACGUCCUGAGGUAGAAAGUGGGGGAUCUUCGGACCUCACGCUAUCAGAUGAGCCUAGGUCGGAUUAGCUAGUUGGUGGGGUAAAGGCCUACCAAGGCGACGAUCCGUAACUGGUCUGAGAGGAUGAUCAGUCACACUGGAACUGAGACACGGUCCAGACUCCUACGGGAGGCAGCAGUAGGGAAUCUUGGGCAAUGGGCGAAAGCCUGAUGCAGCCAUGCCGCGUGUGUGAAGAAGGUCUUCGGAUUGUAAAGCACUUUAAGUUGGGAGGAAGGGCAGUAAGUUAAUACCUUGCUGUUUUGACGUUACCUACAGAAUAAGCACCGGCUAACUUCGUG